AUGAACCGUUAUAACCGGCGAUUUCCGAAUGGGGAAACCCAGUGUGUUUCGACACACUAUCAUUAACUGAAUCCAUAGGUUAAUGAGGCGAACCGGGGGAACUGAAACAUCUAAGUACCCCGAGGAAAAGAAAUCAACCGAGAUUCCCCCAGUAGCGGCGAGCGAACGGGGAGCAGCCCAGAGCCUGAAUCAGUAUGUGUGUUAGUGGAAGCGUCUGGAAAGGCGCGCGAUACAGGGUGACAGCCCCGUACACAAAAAUGCACAUGCUGUGAGCUCGAUGAGUAGGGCGGGACACGUGGUAUCCUGUCUGAAUAUGGGGGGACCAUCCUCCAAGGCUAAAUACUCCUGACUGACCGAUAGUGAACCAGUACCGUGAGGGAAAGGCGAAAAGAACCCCGGCGAGGGGAGUGAAAAAGAACCUGAAACCGUGUACGUACAAGCAGUGGGAGCACGCUUAGGCGUGUGACUGCGUACCUUUUGUAUAAUGGGUCAGCGACUUAUAUUCUGUAGCAAGGUUAACCGAAUAGGGGAGCCGAAGGGAAACCGAGUCUUAACUGGGCGUUAAGUUGCAGGGUAUAGACCCGAAACCCGGUGAUCUAGCCAUGGGCAGGUUGAAGGUUGGGUAACACUAACUGGAGGACCGAACCGACUAAUGUUGAAAAAUUAGCGGAUGACUUGUGGCUGGGGGUGAAAGGCCAAUCAAACCGGGAGAUAGCUGGUUCUCCCCGAAAGCUAUUUAGGUAGCGCCUCGUGAAUUCAUCUCCGGGGGUAGAGCACUGUUUCGGCAAGGGGGUCAUCCCGACUUACCAACCCGAUGCAAACUGCGAAUACCGGAGAAUGUUAUCACGGGAGACACACGGCGGGUGCUAACGUCCGUCGUGAAGAGGGAAACAACCCAGACCGCCAGCUAAGGUCCCAAAGUCAUGGUUAAGUGGGAAACGAUGUGGGAAGGCCCAGACAGCCAGGAUGUUGGCUUAGAAGCAGCCAUCAUUUAAAGAAAGCGUAAUAGCUCACUGGUCGAGUCGGCCUGCGCGGAAGAUGUAACGGGGCUAAACCAUGCACCGAAGCUGCGGCAGCGACGCUGAUGCGUUGUUGGGUAGGGGAGCGUUCUGUAAGCCUG
RNAcentral lists this ribosomal RNA (1120 nucleotides) under Escherichia coli. Its description in RNAcentral is "partial 23S ribosomal RNA". It matches the Rfam family "Bacterial large subunit ribosomal RNA", at positions 90 to 1251 of the family's 2925-position model. The record is from RNAcentral. Lineage: Bacteria; Pseudomonadati; Pseudomonadota; Gammaproteobacteria; Enterobacterales; Enterobacteriaceae.